CCGUGGGAAACUACGGCUAAUACCGCAUGAUCCCUGAGGGGCAAAGGCGAAAGUCGCCUGAGGAGGAGCCUGCGUCUGAUUAGGUAGUUGGUGGGGUAAAGGCCUACCAAGCCUGCGAUCAGUAGCUGGUCUGAGAGGAUGAUCAGCCACAUUGGGACUGAGACACGGCCCAAACUCCUACGGGAGGCAGCAGUGGGGAAUAUUGGACAAUGGGCGAAAGCCUGAUCCAGCAAUGCCGCGUGUGUGAAGAAGGUCUUCGGAUUGUAAAGCACUUUUGGCAGGGACGAUGAUGACGGUACCUGCAGAAUAAGCCCCGGCUAACUUCGUG
This 328-nucleotide ribosomal RNA is filed under the name uncultured bacterium. RNAcentral describes it as "bacterial SSU rRNA". It matches the Rfam family "Bacterial small subunit ribosomal RNA", at positions 147 to 507 of the family's 1533-position model. The record is from RNAcentral.